RNAcentral lists this ribosomal RNA (664 nucleotides) under uncultured archaeon. Its description in RNAcentral is "bacterial SSU rRNA". It matches the Rfam family "Archaeal small subunit ribosomal RNA", at positions 691 to 1353 of the family's 1478-position model. The record is from RNAcentral.
CCGACGGUGAGAGGUGAAAGCUGGGGGAGCAAACCGGAUUAGAUACCCGGGUAGUCCCAGCUGUAAACUAUGCAAACUCAGUGAUGCAUUGGCUUGUGGCCAAUGCAGUGCUGCAGGGAAGCCGUUAAGUUUGCCGCCUGGGAAGUACGUACGCAAGUAUGAAACUUAAAGGAAUUGGCGGGGGAGCACCACAAGGGGUGAAGCCUGCGGUUCAAUUGGAGUCAACGCCAGAAAUCUUACCCGGAGAGACAGCAGAAUGAAGGUCAAGCUGAAGACUUUACCAGACAAGCUGAGAGGUGGUGCAUGGCCGUCGCCAGCUCGUGCCGUGAGAUGUCCUGUUAAGUCAGGUAACGAGCGAGAUCCCUGCCUCUAGUUGCCACCAUUACUCUCAGGAGUAGUGGGGCGAAUUAGCGGGACCGCCGCAGUUAAUGCGGAGGAAGGAAGGGGCCACGGCAGGUCAGUAUGCCCCGAAACUCUGGGGCCACACGCGGGCUGCAAUGGUAACNANNAUUGGUUUCGAAUCCGAAAGGAUGAGGUAAUCCUCAAACGUUACCACAGUUAUGAUUGAGGGCUGCAACUCGCCCUCAUGAAUAUGGAAUCCCUAGUAACCGCGUGUCAUUAUCGCGCAGUGAAUACGUCCCUGCUCCUUGCACUCACCGCCCGU